CGGAAAUGAAAUUCCUGCUCAGCUGUGAAACCAUGGAACAGAUUGAAACCACCUGAAAUGUACAACAAUGAAGAGUAAAGAACCAGAGUUGACCCUACAAUAUGGAAUAUUUUCUGCUUCCAAGUGCUGCUGGAAAUCAUUGUACACCGUGCUGGGCGCUGGGUGCAGACAGGGCCAACGGGACCAACAGGACACAAGAGUCAACCAAUCUGCUUCUCAGAUACUAGCCUUGAAAUCUAAGUGUGGACCUGAGGAGAGGCGUUCCAUUCACACAGGCUGUUCAAGAGGAAUCAGUGGUCUGACAAAGUUAGCACGGUGUGGGGAAAGCCUGCAGCAAUUUCAACAUGCAGCAAAUGAUUUCACAAACGUCCUCAUGAUUUUUGGAUUUCCUUCUGCAUCCCGUUUGUGGAACGAUCAAGAAGAAGAAGAUGUGGUUUUUCACACAACAAGUGUGACCAUUGAGGGGCACCACUGAACGCCACAGGAGAUCCUUUCUCCCUGUGGCUAUAAGACUCUGCAGCUUCUCCUCCUUCAGCACAUAAAAUCUGCUCAUUACUCAUUCACACCUGAGUGCCGUGACAGAUUGUGCCCAGAUGUCAGGAACCAGCUUCCUAGAUGAUUCUGGAGGCUGUAGCUCUCCCAUUGGAAUGUGAAUCAUGCUGGACCAGAGAUCCCAGGCUGUACUCCGUUUCGGAAAGUUGCAAUUGGUCUUCGGUCAAGGACGAAAAGUAAAAGCUCAUCCAUAAAAUGUUGCUUUCCCACCCCAUCUUUGCUACUCCAUGGUAACACUUAUGAAUGUCCAGUUGUCAUGCGAGAAGGGAAAUGAAGCUGGUUAUUUAAAAAUGCAUCAAAUGCUGAUGUGUAAAUAGCUCCAGUGGCACAGUACUGUACAAUUUCCUGACUCGGCAUCUUCAGCAAAGAAGAGAGAACCCAGACAAAAAUCUAGAUGAUGACUAAGAUGGAGUGUUGAUGAAGAAAACUCUACCACUCCCUCUCAAAAUCCUCACCCAGGUGUGAAAUCACUUCCCAAAUACCUGAGCAAACACAACAUCCUUUAGAUGUUACAGGGCUAACUUUGAAAAUAACAAAUUAAUAUUUAAAAAAAUACUAGUGCAUGAGAGAUACCAGGAAACAAGACUUAGAACAUCCCAUACUCAGAAAAAACAUUACCACUCGCACUGAGAGUUUCUUUGUGACUGGAAUAAGCAUCAAAUAGUGCUCUUUCAGAUGAGGCUGGCAGAUAUAAAAUAUCCCUGGUAGAGAUAAAACAAACGGAAUGUCAAUGUGUCAAUAAAUUACACAAAAUGACAUGGGGCAAGUAAUCCAGGGAACAAAUUAUAAAACUCUUAUGUCAAUAUUGGGAGACUGAGAUUAUAUUCUCUUUAGCUUUCAACAGAAAGAACAUACCAUCUUUAAAAUGCACCAAAUGAAUGUUUGGAACUGCUUGCUUAUUGCUUCACCAGAUUGCGUCUUUGAUAUGGGAAAUUUGAAGGUAAAAACAUAUUGCAAAAUAGAGACUGGGAUUAUAAUGGAUUAAAUCGGUAUUAUUGGUUUCAAAGAGUUGAUUAUUUUUUCUCUCUCUAAAUCAAUAUUUCACGAUAAUAAAAGAUGUGAUGACUAUAAUGGAAAAGCAGUGAAGUCUGUAUCUUUGGAUUCAGAUACGGAAACAUUGACAUUAUUAAAUAACCCAGAGCACUGUGAAAUUGGCAAGCUUUUGGGUUAUUUACAAAGCAAAGAUUUCAACAACAGGGACAACAAGCAGAUGGUUAUAAUAGAGUAUUUGAACCAAUAGGCAUAUGGGACAUUUUCUGGCACAUACCAGAGACAUUGUUUAGUCUAAAUGGUAGUUAGCACAACUAAAAAGUAGCAAAAUAGGAACUCGUAAUCAGCUCUGGUUUAUUAGCUAAAAAUUUCCCUGACAGAAAUGUGGUCAUAAAUUACUGAGAUUUGUUAUGCUGAAGUUAAUACUUGACUGACGUUUCAGAGGUAUAAAACCAUGAGGGUGUAGACGGUCCUUUUGCCAGAGAAAGGGAAUCAGACACUAGGGGACGUGGUUUUAAGACGAGAGGGGAGUUUGAAAAGGGAGCCGAGGGCAAACGUUUUCAUUCAGAAUGUGUCUGUAUGUGGAGUGAGCCACCAGAGAAACUGGCUGAGGCAAAACAGCCACGUUUAAAACGUGGUUGCACCGGAGGAUCAAUAGAAGAGAUUUAGAGCAGUGAUUCCCAUUGGGGGUGAUGUCCUAAGGGGGCAUUAGGGGAAAUAGAAGUCAUCGAGGGGAAUUCAAGAUUCUUGGAGGGGGGGGCAGUAAAAGGCACCCUAACUUAAGACAUGAGACCUCACCGACCGUUAGUAGAGCAGGUAUAUCCAAACAAAAGGAAGAGGGACUGGAACACAGGAAGAACCACAGCUCUACAGGCGGUGAGUACGUUGUCACAACACCUCUGAAACUCAGCAAUCUCAUCCGACCUUACCAACCAAACAGACAUUAUUAGGGAUGCAUAAAUUAGCAACCAGGGUGCCCAACAGUUCCCCUUGACUGACAGCGCGGAACGAGUUCAUGCAAUUUAACAGUUGGUAAGUCAAGUACACCCUCGCAACUUUCUCUACAGAAAUACAGAAAACAGGUCGUGCAACAAUACAGUGCUGGCUGGAACCAAACGGUGAAAUAGAGCCAAUCAGUGAACUGCUGAUUCUGAGGAUUUCUCCUGAGGUGUUCAAAACGACUUCAGUUUCAUAUGUGCGGUCACGAACCAUCUUAGGAGAUUCUGGGUACUGAGGAUCAAAGUAUUUCGAUUAAGAACAUGAUUUCUUGUGCAACAGGGUGGAGCUCCAUAUAUGACAGGUCACCAUGCUGGUUUAGUGGUGUUCAUGAAAAAAGAAAUUUCAAGUCUAUUUGCAAACCAUUGUGUAAUUCAUCGUCAACAUCUCAUAGCCAAAAUCUUCAGGCAGUGACUUUUUUCAAGCAUGACUCUUGUAAUAUCUGCUAUCAACAAAAUUAAAGCUCAUCCAUUAAAUACCAGAAUAUUUCAUCAUUUAUGCCAAGAUAACAAAGAGUUUGAAUGCUUGCUUCUUCACACUGAAGUGCGUUGGUUGUCAAAAGGCUGCUGUUUAAAAUGUUUCGUUGAUCAUUUUGACAUUGUGGUUGAAUUUUUUGCUCAAAGUUGACAAGAGCUUGGGGAACAACAUCGAACUUCAAUGUGGAGGGAGACUGCGCCUGUCUGUAAAUGGAAUAGCUGCAGUUUUUGUGCUGCUCCCAGUUUUGUUCCUUUCCCCCUAGUUUAAAAUUUGAAUUUAAAAUUUUCAUUUGCUGAUUCUUGAAGGGGAACAAUAUGUCUAUGUGUACAAGGAGUGGGAAGAACUUUUCUGAACCUAGUAAUAAAGACAAUGGGAAAGGAAAGAUGAAAAAGGGAGGAUCUGAUGACAUGCCACCAUGGGCUGGAGAUUUAAUUGCUUACUUUGGUAAGCUUUUUCAUACCUUAUUUCCUACCAUAUUAUCACAGCCGCCUACUAUAGAAAGAGCACACAGAGCUUUUACUUCAAAAUCUAAAGAUCCAAAUAAACCAAGGUCUGUUCUGGUUUGUUUUCAUCACUUUAAAACUAAAGAUCAAAUAAUGCGACAGGCAAGAAAACAGAGUUUUCAGAUUUAAGGAAUCUGAGCUCCAUUUUUAUGAGGAUUAUCCGAAGGAGGUAAUGGAACAAAGAUCAAAAUUUGCUCUGGUAAUGAAACAGGCAUAUGAUAAGUAACUGUUCCCUUCCUUACGUUACCCGACAAGAAUUAAAGUUUUUUCUCCUAUUUCUCCUCCUCGUACAUUUUUUGAUCCUAAAGUUGCACUGGCGUUCGUUCAAACUAUACCUGCUGCAGCUGCCAAAUGAACUGUCUGGAAGACUGCUUGGUUAUCUGUAUAUUACUGGCAUUUCGGAAAGAAGAUUUAUGAAGUUUACUUGGACAUUUCACUGAGAGACUAUAAAAAAAAGAUAAGGUAGAUUUGUUCAUUAUUGCAUAUCAUUGUUUUUUUUGGAAAGAAGAUCUAUGGUUCAAGUAUGACUGUUUAAAUGGUUAUUCAGACGUUCGACUGAGAAAAAGAAGAUAAAGGGACUUGUUCCCUUAACCUAAUAUCUGGUUUGAUGUUUUUUUGUUUCUUUCUUAAUUAAUUAAUUGGUAGUUUUUCCUACUAAUGGGGCUAUAUAUAUAUAUAUAUGUGUGUGUGUGUAUAUAUAUAUAUAUAUAUAUUUAGGGGAGGGUUCAAUUACUUAUAUAAUACUACUAGUUGGUAUUUUUGAAAAUUUAGUUGGGCUAAAUAUGCUAUUAACUCCUUUUUGCUUUAUUAUAGGGUCUUAUAACGGAAUUUAAAGCUUAUUUUAGGGAUUUAAUGCUAAAUUUAAGAUGGUGCUGGUUUUUCUUUUUAAGAGAUAACAUUUUUUCAUUUUUUUCUUGUUUAAAAAAGAUUAAAUAUAAACAUGGGACAGUUUGUAGAUGCUGGAACGUAAACACUUUCCUUUGCUGAGUCUUUGUUGUUCCUCUUACAAGGUCAGUGGGUUUCUUUUUUUUUAACUGGUGUGACGAGAAUACACAUAAAUUAAGAUGUUUGCUGGCCUGGGCUAGCAUCAGUGGCAUCAGCAGUUGGUCUGCCACCUGUCCUCAGGGGAAGGAGAGAUAAGGAACAAUGAAGCAGCAUCUGGAGAUGUGUAAUGAAGGGACGGGAGAGAGAGCUGUUUAGAGCGGCUCCCCCUUUGAACCCUGAACUGUUUGAAGUGAUGGACAGGCGAUACCCCAGCAGGGGGAUAAAAAGGGACAGGUUCGCUAAGGCAGGACACACACGACACCCGAGGUAACGAGACCCUGGAAGCGGUGCGCCUCUCACAAGUCGGUGGAAAGCUCUUGGACGGCUGAUCGGGGAAUCAAGCCUUAAACGCACAGGGUGGAAAGGUACGAUCAGCGGGAACCCGGUGUGUGUCCACCCUUGCUUGGGUGCCGGGUUCACUGCAGAGGAUCGACCGCAUCUGGAGGAGGGGUCACAGUCGGUGACCUCAGGUGACAUCACAAAGGACCCGCCUGAAAGCUGCUUGUGAGCAAUAUCGCCGGUCUGUGAGUGGAAGCCGUUCUGAAUGAUCAGUCGUUCUCGUUCUCUCUCUCUCUCUCCCCCCACGUUGUCCAUCGCCAUGGCAAUGAUUACUGCGAACUGAACUAAAUCGAACUGGACUUUUGUGUCACUUUGAAAUUGGUCAUUUACCCCUAGACAACGAUAGAGCUUGAUUGAUGCUGUUAUCUUAAUUCUGUGCACAUGUGUGUUUAUCAUUGCUGAACUGUUGCAUUUAUUAUCCUUUCGAUUACUGUGUUACUUGUUUCUUUAAUAAA
Mobula hypostoma (lesser devil ray) is the source of this 5356-nucleotide long non-coding RNA. RefSeq lists it as uncharacterized. Lineage: Eukaryota; Metazoa; Chordata; Chondrichthyes; Myliobatiformes; Myliobatidae. The record is from RefSeq and is a predicted model, not a curated record. The transcript is spliced from 4 exons.